GAUGAAGAACGCAGCGAAAUGCGAUAAGUAGUGUGAAUUGCAGAAUUCAGUGAAUCAUCGAAUCUUUGAACGCACAUUGCGCCCCUUGGUAUCCCGAGGGGCAUGCCUGUUCGAGCGUCAUUUCACCACUCAAGCCUGGCUUGGUGUUGGGCGACGUCCUCUUUGGGGACGCGCCUCGAAACGCUCGGCGGCGUGGCACCGGCUUUAAGCGUAGCAAAAUCUUUCGCUUUGGAAGUCGGGGCCCCGUCUGCCGGAAGACCUGCUCGCAAGGUUGACCUCGGAUCAGGCAGGGAUACCCGCUGAACUUAAGCAUAUCAAUAAGCGGAGGA
Molecule: unclassified non-coding RNA, 329 nt
Filed under: soil metagenome
Description: partial contains 5.8S ribosomal RNA, internal transcribed spacer 2, and large subunit ribosomal RNA
Rfam family: 5.8S ribosomal RNA (bases 1-120)
Source: RNAcentral